AUGCUAAGUGGAAAAGGAUGUGGAGUUGCGCAGACAACUAGGACGUUGGCUCAGAAGCAGCCAUCAUUCAAAGAGUGCGUAAUAGCUCACUAGUCGAGUGACGCCGCGCCGAAAAUUUACCGGGGCUAAGCAUGAUACCGAAACUGUGGAUGUGCAUUUAUGCACGUGGUAGGAGAGCGUUCUAGCGGCGGUGAAGCAUGAC
This 202-nucleotide ribosomal RNA is filed under the name Lactobacillus delbrueckii subsp. bulgaricus. Its description in RNAcentral is "partial 23S ribosomal RNA". It matches the Rfam family "Bacterial large subunit ribosomal RNA", at positions 1056 to 1261 of the family's 2925-position model. The record is from RNAcentral. Lineage: Bacteria; Bacillati; Bacillota; Bacilli; Lactobacillales; Lactobacillaceae.